ACAGCAAACUUUGUAAAAUAUGUAUAAAUGACCACAGUGCCCCAUAAUGCCUCUGCAUUGUUCUCGGGGUCUACAGUGAAUUGCUGUACCAUAUUCAAAUACAUCUAAAUUCAGCAUGUAAUGGUGUUUCUGCAGCUACAUAUUAUUGCAGUGCGCUCGCGGUGAUUAACAACAUUUUGGGGCUGGGUGGGGCACUCGCUAUUUGUUUAAUUAUUAAUUUAUUUUGAUGGCAGUGAAAUUAAAGACAGAGCUUCUCGGGCAGGUAGGCAGCGCAUCUCGGCAGAUGUUGAUGAGGUGCAGGCGGGCAGCGGGCAGAUCCGCGUCCUGCCGCUAGAGUCGUGCUGCUCCCGGAUCCCGGAUCCGCUCCGGUGGCGUGUGCGUGUCGCCCCGAGCGCCUCCGAAGCGCCGCGUCCCGGAAAUGUGGCAAAUGUAACGAAUUUAACAAGUGCAUCGGGAUCGCAGGGACCGAGAAAACCGCCAAGGAUAAGUGAGCAGAGACGCCAUGUCCCGCGUGGUGAAGAAGAGGCAGGCCGACCCCAGGGUGGUCCAGCACAUCUGGGCCGCCAUCGAGGUCAUCCGCAACCAGAAACAGAUCGCCAACAUGGAUCGGAUAUCCAAGUACCUCAGUCGCGUGUUCGGGGUGCACCCCAAGGAAACGGCACGGCAGCUGGGUCUGGCAGUGAAGGACGGCCUGGUGGUGGAGACCCUCACCGUGGGCUGCAAGGGCUCCAAGGCUGGCAUCGAGCAGGAAGGCUACUGGCUGCCUGCUGAGGACACGGUACGAGCCGCCAAGGACGUGGACUGGGAGCCAGAGAGCCAUGACGCCUACUGCUUUGAGUGCCACCUGCCGGGGGACGUGCUGGAGUGCGAGAGCUGCUACCGCGUCUUCCACCUGCGCUGCCUGGCCGAGGACAGCCGGCCCCGGGACGGGGCGCCGCACUGGCAGUGCGCGGCGUGCAAGGGGAGCAAAAAGAAGAACGUGAGCAAACAGGAAUUGAGCAGGUACCUGCGGUUCAUCGUGCAGCGGAUGAAGGAGCGGGGGUCAUUUGCUCCACAGGCUUUGGACCUGAGCAAGAAGGGCAAGGACACCACACACCCCAUGUACCGGAGGCUGAUCCACACUCCACUGGAGGUCUGCAAAAUACAGGAGUACGUCGCUGAGGGGAAGUACAGGAGCUUUGAGGAGUUCAAGGCUGACGUUCAGCUGGUGGUGCACAACACGGCCAUCCUACAUGGAGUGCACAGUGAACAGGCUGAAAUCGCCAGGAUGCUGUACACCGACACUUGUCACGAGCUGAAUGAGCUGCAUCUCUGCAGGACCUGCUUCUAUCUGUCCAACGCCAGGCCACACAACUGGUUCUGUUACCCUUGUAAUCCCAGGCAUGAGCUGGUCUGGGCUCGCAUGAAGGGUUUCGGGUUUUGGCCCGCCAAGAUCCUGCAGCGUGAGGACAGUCAGGUGGACGUGCGUUUCUUUGGACACCAGCACCAGAGGGCGUGGAUCUCCGCAGACAACAUCCAGGAGAUCUCAGUGAGCGUACAGAAGCUGCAGGUGAAGCGCAGCGCGGGCUGGAGGAAGGCCUGCGAGGAGCUGGAGCUGUACCAGCGCUUCCUGCAGGAGGGCCGCAUGUGGAGGGAGCGCGAGAGGGACAGGGAGAGGGAAAGGGAGAGGGAGCGAGACAAGGAGGAGCGCGCCGAGGAGGAGCCCGAGGCUGGCAUCUCGUCCACCAGCACCGAGCAGCUCAAGGUGAACCAGGAACCCAAAGCAAAGAAACAGCGUCGCAGCCAAAACCCAGAUUUGAAAGAGGAGCAGCUGGAGCCAGAGAUGGAGGCCGUCAGCUCCAGCCAGGAGAUCCCCACGUCGCCCCACCAACCGGAGAAGUUCUCGGUGUCCACGCAGACCCGGAAGGCCAGUGCGGCGUCGCCAAGGACACUGCACCGCGGCACCCAGACCAGUGCCGAUAGUGACAACAGCGGCUGCCAGAACCACUGCCACGAGAAGUACGCCAAGAUCUUCAACGAAGUCAAGGAGAUGAUGAAGGCGGAGAACAAGUGUGAGACAGAGCGGGUAGUGCGGGAGUCACUGGAGAAGCUGCGUGCCGAGAUGGACGAGGAGAAGCGGCAGGCGGUGGCCAAGGCAGCAUCCAGCACCCAGGCUGAGAUGGAGCGCCGCUGCAAGCAGGUGAAGGAGAAAUGCAAGGAGGAGCUGGUGGAGGAGGUGAAGAAGAUGGUGUCUCAGCACAAGCAGCUCAUCUCGCAGACCAAGAAGAAGCAGUGGUGUUACAACUGCGAGGAGGAGGCCAUGUACCACUGCUGCUGGAACACCUCCUACUGCUCCAUCAAGUGCCAGCAGGAGCACUGGCACGCGGACCACAAGCGGACCUGCCGGCGGAAGCGCUGUAGGUGAACUUUAUCAUGUUUUCCUGUCUGGAUUUAAAAAAAUGGACACAGACGGACUUGAGGAUCCCGAUAUUGUAACACUACACGAAACAUUUUAAUUGUUAAAAUUUUUAGUCUUUGUUGGGAUCUUGUUGACUGAGGACCCCCAACCCCCCCAAAGACUGUGACUAUGUGCGACCCCAUUUUGCACACGUUUCUGUGCCCCUCCUCCAUUCCCCGGAAGCUUCUGGAAAUGCCAAACGCUGCCGUGGAUGUGCCUGCAAUGUGGCAGGUGGGCAGGCUGGCCGGUGGCGUGUGACUGCGGGGGCAUGCAGGGCUGCUGGCUGGGGGCAGGAGAGCGGGCCCCCCCCCCCCCCAGGGUGCCCUGUCAGAAACCAGGUAGCUAAUCGCUGCUGAGAAUGUCACCGGAAUAGAGAGCAGCGCCUGUUUUAUUAUAAUUGGGUACAUUGUACGUAUUCUACAUGCUGGUUUCCUCUGUUCGCCAGCUGUGGGGUUUUUAAAAGCACAUCUCUCUUAUGCUGGCUCAUGAGCAUCCCGUCACGGCCGCUGGGCAUAUAGAGAGGGGGGGGUAGGACCCCCCGCGGCCUUCGCAGACCAUCCAGCCUCUCCAAUGAGGACAGACGGAACCAGAAACAGCUGCAGCCCAGACCUGCCCUGCCCUGCUCCGCCCCUCCCAGGCUUCGCGGUACAUGUAAGACGGUGUGUAUGUGUAUGUGCCGCCCUGACGUUUAUAAUAUGCACCUCCCAAGAUCAUUUUAGACAUUUGUUUUCGGUUCCUUGAGUAGCUUCUGUGAUUAGUAGACGCCUCCCUAGUCAGACGAUGGUGUUGGGUAGCUGCGCGUGGACCCGGAACCAUCCCCCCUCCCCGGAGCCAUAUGGCGCCCCCUGCUGUUCGCGUACAGUGCUUCUGCUGGAUUUGCGGUUGAAGCUUGAAGCAACUCUAAGGGAGACCCUGCUACACUGCAAAGGGCACCCUGCUACAUGACAAAGGGCACAAUGCAAGGGAGACUCUGCCACACUGCAAAGGGAGACUCUGCCACACUGCAAAGGGAGACCCUGCUACUUGAAAAAGGAGAUCCUGAUACUCUGGAAGGGAGACCCUGCUACAUGGCAAAGGGCACCCUGCCACACUGCAAGGAGUACCCUGUUAUACUGCAAGCGAAUACCUGCAUCGAUGGAGGCUUUUUAAAUAGAAACUGACUGCAAAUUAUACCAUACAAAAAUGUGAGGCCUUUUUUAUGCUGGAGCCUCUAUUCUUCAGGAUAAUGUGGUUUUCCUUACGCCCUUUCGUUCUUUGUAAACUUUAGUUACUAAACAGGAAUGUGGCCUCCACAGCCUGCAUGCACCACAAGAUCUUUGCUUGGUUUGCAGUACAGUGGCCCCCUAUUAAAAUGAGAAUCGCACAUGAUUGACCUCUAAUUAUUAUUAUUAUUAUUAUUUUUUAUUAUUUUAUUUUUAUUUUUUUACAGAGUCCUAUUCUGCCAUUUUUGUCGGAGCUCCUCCAGACACUGGGGGGCAGCACACGCCGCCCAUUUGUGUUCCUGACCCCCCACUAAUGUCCUGCUCCCCAUUGACCACCUGUGCCAACCCAUAGCUGUUACCAUUGUUCUUAUGGGUCAGUCCUUGUUGGUUGUUGUUUUUGAGAAAAACAAUCCUAUACAUUCCAUCAUUGUUUGUGGUACAUAACCCCCCCCACACACACUUUAUGUGUAUAUGUAGCACCGCAUUUUGUUACUGAACAGGAAUACUGCCUCCACAGCCUGUGCAGUGUAAUGAAUACGUUUGGUGUGACAAUAAAGUCCCA
This is an RNA transcript of Brienomyrus brachyistius, 4201 nucleotides long. It is a transcript of the gene named zinc finger MYND domain-containing protein 11-like, with no coding region annotated. The record is from RefSeq and is a predicted model, not a curated record. Lineage: Eukaryota; Metazoa; Chordata; Actinopteri; Osteoglossiformes; Mormyridae. The transcript is spliced from 17 exons.